Molecule: long non-coding RNA, 1011 nt
Filed under: Heterocephalus glaber (naked mole-rat)
Lineage: Eukaryota; Metazoa; Chordata; Mammalia; Rodentia; Bathyergidae
Description: lncRNA (ENSHGLG00100050477.1)
Source: RNAcentral
CUUAGGCCGGGGCUUGGGCUGGGGGUCCCGGGGCGGGGCCGGGCCGAGGGGGCCGAAGUGCGCUGCAACUCUGAGCCCCGCCCCAGAGCUGCAAAUCUAGAGUGGCGGAGGGAGCGUGCGCACACGCCCCACAGACCCUGAGUUUGGGAUGCGGAAGGUUUGGGUGCCCUCCCGGCCCCACCCGGUGCACGAGCUCACGCCGGCGGCGGACCCGGAACUGGUGCCUACAGCCGGCCAAGUGCGGGCAGGCCCUGCGCCGAGAGCGCCCAGCGAGCGGAACCUGACUUGGAGUCCCAGCGCUGCUGCUUUCUCCAGAGGGACUUGGAGCACGUCACUCCACCUGAGCUGGGUCUGAUCCUCAGAAUUCAAGAGCUUCAGGCUACCUUUUUUAUUGAGUACCUGCUGAGUACCAGGCACGAAAAGAUGACAGGUGACUUAAAGAUCCCUGCCUUGGUCGCUACCAGGAUAGUUGUGAGGAUGACAAAGCAUUACCUUGGUGAAUACAAGUCGAAGGAGCUCUACACCAUCAUUGCUUGAAGGUUCUGCAGGUAUCUGAAGUUUGGACAAAGAUCACAUAGCUGCUUCAGCAGAGAGCCAGAAUUUGGAUGGAGUGGAGGAAAAGGACCCACUGAAGCAAGAUUUCCUAGGGCCUUGAAGUCAAGGCCCUUAGUCCAGGCUCCUGCUUACCAACUCUGUGAACCCAGGUGACCACUUUGAGACAGGAUGUCUGCAUGGAUUCAGCAGCAGCAAGGCCUGGACUAUCUCUGAGGGCUGGCUGGCUGACAACUCCCGGGUCACAGCACCUCAUCAGGCACACCAGCCAUUCCACAGCAUCUUCGCAGCAGCCUCUGGAGAGAUUCUGACAUAUUCUUCAGCUGACCAGGCGAGAUCCCCACUUAUAAAAGCUUCCAGACCUCUGCAGUCAUUUCCCCCCUCUUCACCCCCUUAGGGCCCUUUUCCAUCUAGCUCUAUUUCUCCAGGAACAAGACAGAAAAGACUGUUUUGAGCAAG